AGCAAUGAUCUCAAGGCAGUAAUUUUUAGUGUUUUCAUCCAUUUGGACAGUUUACUCAUCCAUUUCUUUGCAGGGUAGUCCGUUAACCUGCAAAGAUUGGUGUUCUCUCUUGAGUCAUCUCUUCCCAGCAGCUUUCGAUGUAUAUCCUUCUCUCAUCAGAUACAAUAGAAUUAGACUUAGUCCGCAUUUUGAUAUUGUGCUUUCUCAGGUGUUUUGUCGCAAUUUUACAAAGUAUUGUUGUAGUUCUAUUUUCCUUUCCUUCUAUUUCUGGUUCUUUCAUAGAUGGGUCGCUGCCUUGAAUUUACUUUUAUUUGCAUGAGUGUAGUUGCUCUUUCAUUCCUUUCAUAAUUAAUUUCAGGAGGAGUAAAAAUUAAUUUUAUUCUCAAUUUAAUUGGAAUUGCAGGAAACAGAUUACUCUUGAUGUGGCCUCCGCAGCAGGCUUGGAUUUCCGGGUGAAGGCAUACUCAUCCUAUGCCAAAGCUUCAAUUAUGGCAAGUUUCCUACUUCAUCACUUCCUCUUAUGACUGUCCAGGCCAAGUAAGCGCUCAGACUGAUUUUUUCAGGGGUGAACUAAGUUUUCAUCUAUUUGGAUUCAUAAUGUGUGUCGGUGCAACAGCUGCAAGAGCACUCAAGUCAGUGCUUCAGGGGAUUUUGCUGUCCUCCAAAGGGUAAUAGACAUUUGAUAAUGGAAUAAUGAUCAGAAGUAGAUGCUCUCAAUGACAGAAAAAAUUUAUAGUUUUGGGACUUCCAUAUUCACGAUAUGCUGCUAAAGAUAUCGCCAUCGUCAAGAGCAUAAUACAGAUAGGUUAAAGGAAUUAUGCAGAUACGUAUGGACAGAGGAAACUGUUUUUUGGAAUAAGGUCCCAUUUUGGGUGGACAGGCACAUCUACCAGACUUUGGUUUCUUUAAAUGAAGUUUGAAGUACGUUUUGCUCCACAGUGUACCACUUAAGGAGUGUAGUUAUUUGAUUAAGUUCCUCUUCAAUGUUCCUAAAGAAAAUUUACAUUUAUAGCUUGAUCAUGUCUGAUUGCAACAUCAUUCAAGACUAGCAAAAUUCGUAGUUCUUUUUUAUCCAUUCAAGAUCAAUAAGUUCAUAAUUUCCAUU
Long non-coding RNA from Lycium barbarum (goji berry), 1105 nucleotides. RefSeq lists it as uncharacterized. The transcript has 5 exons. Lineage: Eukaryota; Viridiplantae; Streptophyta; Magnoliopsida; Solanales; Solanaceae. The record is from RefSeq and is a predicted model, not a curated record.